UUUAAAUGAAAUCAAAAAGAGAUGUACUAUUGUUAAUAGUAAGAUUGGUGUACAACCCAUUUAUAG
RNAcentral lists this transfer RNA (66 nucleotides) under Liposcelis decolor. RNAcentral's name for it is "tRNA-Asn". Lineage: Eukaryota; Metazoa; Arthropoda; Insecta; Psocodea; Liposcelididae. The record is from RNAcentral.